This 91-nucleotide transfer RNA is filed under the name Xanthomonas sp. 3058. Its description in RNAcentral is "tRNA-Ser". It matches the Rfam family "Proteobacterial sRNA sX4", at positions 15 to 105 of the family's 167-position model. Lineage: Bacteria; Pseudomonadati; Pseudomonadota; Gammaproteobacteria; Lysobacterales; Lysobacteraceae. The record is from RNAcentral.
GGAGAGGUGGCAGAGCGGUUGAAUGUACCUGACUCGAAAUCAGGCAGGCGUUUGUAGCGCCUCGGGGGUUCGAAUCCCCCCCUCUCCGCCA